CAAUAGCGUAUAUUAAAGUUGUUGCGGUUAAAAAGCUCGUAGUUGGAUUUCUGCCGAGGACGACCGGUCCGCCCUCUGGGUGUGUAUCUGGUUUGGCCUGGGCAUCUUCUUGGAGAACGUAGCUGCACUUGACUGUGUGGUGCGGUGUCCAGGACUUUUACUUUGAGGAAAUUAGAGUGUUUCAAGCAGGCACACGCCUUGAAUACAUUAGCAUGGAAUAAUAAGAUAGGACCUCGGUUCUAUUUUGUUGGUUUCUAGAGCUGAGGUAAUGAUUAAUAGGGAUAGUUGGGGGCAUUCGUAUUUAACUGUCAGAGGUGAAAUUCUUGAAUUUGUUAAAGACGGACUACUGCGAAAGCAUUUGCCAAGGAUGUUUUCAUUGA
RNAcentral lists this ribosomal RNA (380 nucleotides) under uncultured eukaryote. RNAcentral's name for it is "partial 18S ribosomal RNA". It matches the Rfam family "Eukaryotic small subunit ribosomal RNA", at positions 592 to 976 of the family's 1831-position model. The record is from RNAcentral.